AUGCAUUAACACCACUGCAUCCAAAUGCUUCAUACAGGAAGAAGGGAUCAAAGAAAGGCUCGUCAUCAAAGUUAAAUGUCGUGUUAUUUGCAGGCCAUUCUUGUUCAAAUGGGUAUUCCAGUAGUUCUUCACCUCAUUAUCGGUUCGACCGGGAAGCCGGCCAGCAAUCAGUGACCAUCUGAAUGGAAGAAAUAUCCAAACAUUCAGUCAGUUUACUCUCUUUACAACUGUCUUCUUCUUCUUUGGACAUGCCCCCGCGCUUUAUAUUAGGCCUGAGGUUGGUGAUGAUGUAAUGUUCUCACAGGGCGUGUAAUGAUAGCCACUAUGAUUGGAUUCCUAUAUAUGACAGCAAAAU
Long non-coding RNA from Momordica charantia (bitter melon), 355 nucleotides. RefSeq lists it as uncharacterized. The record is from RefSeq and is a predicted model, not a curated record. NCBI's taxonomy places the organism in Eukaryota, Viridiplantae, Streptophyta, Magnoliopsida, Cucurbitales, Cucurbitaceae.